RNAcentral lists this ribosomal RNA (431 nucleotides) under uncultured bacterium. Its description in RNAcentral is "partial 16S ribosomal RNA". It matches the Rfam family "Bacterial small subunit ribosomal RNA", at positions 29 to 506 of the family's 1533-position model. The record is from RNAcentral.
GCGAACGCUGGCGGCAGGCCUAACACAUGCAAGUCGAACGAACUCUUCGGAGUUAGUGGCGGACGGGUGAGUAACACGUGGGAACGUGCCUUUUGGUUCGGAAUAACUCAGGGAAACUUGUACUAAUACCGAAUGUGCCCUUCGGGGGAAAGAUUUAUCGCCAUUAGAGCGGCCCGCGUCUGAUUAGCUAGUUGGUGAGGUAACGGCUCACCAAGGCGACGAUCAGUAGCUGGUCUGAGAGGAUGACCAGCCACACUGGGACUGAGACACGGCCCAGACUCCUACGGGAGGCAGCAGUGGGGAAUCUUGCGCAAUGGGCGAAAGCCUGACGCAGCCAUGCCGCGUGAAUGAUGAAGGUCUUAGGAUUGUAAAAUUCUUUCACCGGGGACGAUAAUGACGGUACCCGGAGAAGAAGCCCCGGCUAACUUCGU